This 402-nucleotide ribosomal RNA is filed under the name uncultured bacterium. RNAcentral describes it as "partial 16S ribosomal RNA". It matches the Rfam family "Bacterial small subunit ribosomal RNA", at positions 355 to 749 of the family's 1533-position model. The record is from RNAcentral.
UGGGGAAUAUUGCACAAUGGGCGCAAGCCUGAUGCAGCCAUGCCGCGUGUGUGAAGAAGGCCUUCGGGUUGUAAAGCACUUUCAGCGAGGAGGAAGGUGGUGAGCUUAAUACGCUCAUCAAUUGACGUUACUCGCAGAAGAAGCACCGGCUAACUCCGUGCCAGCAGCCGCGGUAAUACGGAGGGUGCAAGCGUUAAUCGGAAUUACUGGGCGUAAAGCGCACGCAGGCGGUUUGUUAAGUCAGNUGUGAAAUCCCCGGGCUCAACCUGGGAACUGCAUUUGAAACUGGCAAGCUAGAGUCUCGUAGAGGGGGUAGAAUUCCAGGUGUAGCGGUGAAAUGCGUAGAGAUCGUGGAGGAAUACCGGUGGCGAAGGCGGCCCCCUGGACGAAGACUGACGCUCA